UGAUUUUACCCGCUGAACUUAAGCAUAUCACUAAGCGGAGGAAAAGAAACUAACCAGGAUUCCCUUAGUAACGGCGAGUGAACAGGGAAAAGCCCAGCACCGAAGCCUGUGGUCGUUUGGCCCCUAGGCAAUGUGGUGUUCAGGUUAGCUCGCGAAGAUGCUGCUCCACCCUAAGUCCUAUAAUGAGUAAGGUUACUCGGACAUGGCCCAAUGAGGGUGAAAGGCCCGUGGGGGUGGAGAUUCAGAAUGGCCAGUAUCUUCCUGAGCGGACCUUGGAGUCGGGUUGUUUGUGAAUGCAGCCCAAAGCGGGUGGUAAACUCCAUCCAAGGCUAAAUACUAGCACGAGUCCGAUAGCGAACAAGUACC
This 366-nucleotide ribosomal RNA is filed under the name Fasciola gigantica. RNAcentral describes it as "partial 28S ribosomal RNA". It matches the Rfam family "Eukaryotic large subunit ribosomal RNA", at positions 21 to 352 of the family's 3401-position model. The record is from RNAcentral. Lineage: Eukaryota; Metazoa; Platyhelminthes; Trematoda; Plagiorchiida; Fasciolidae.